GCCAGUGGCGGGGUGCUUAUACAUGCAGUCGAACGAUGAAGCCCAGCUUGCUGGGUGGAUUAGUGGCGAACGGGUGAGUAACACGUGAGUAACCUGCCCUUAACUCUGGGAUAAGCCUGGGAAACUGGGUCUAAUACCGGAUAGGAGCGUCCACCGCAUGGUGGGUGUUGGAAAGAUUUAUCGGUUUUGGAUGGACUCGCGGCCUAUCAGCUUGUUGGUGAGGUAAUGGCUCACCAAGGCGACGACGGGUAGCCGGCCUGAGAGGGUGACCGGCCACACUGGGACUGAGACACGGCCCAGACUCCUACGGGAGGCAGCAGUGGGGAAUAUUGCACAAUGGGCGCAAGCCUGAUGCAGCGACGCCGCGUGAGGGAUGACGGCCUUCGGGUUGUAAACCUCUUUCAGUAGGGAAGAAGCGAAAGUGACGGUACCUGCAGAAGAAGCACCGGCUAACUACGUGCCAGCAGCCGCGGUAAUACGUAGGGUGCGAGCGUUAUCCGGAAUUAUUGGGCGUAAAGAGCUCGUAGGCGGUUUGUCGCGUCUGUCGUGAAAGUCCGGGGCUUAACCCCGGAUCUGCGGUGGGUACGGGCAGACUAGAGUGCAGUAGGGGAGACUGGAAUUCCUGGUGUAGCGGUGGAAUGCGCAGAUAUCAGGAGGAACACCGAUGGCGAAGGCAGGUCUCUGGGCUGUAACUGACGCUGAGGAGCGAAAGCAUGGGGAGCGAACAGGAUUAGAUACCCUGGUAGUCCAUGCCGUAAACGUUGGGCACUAGGUGUGGGGACCAUUCCACGGUUUCCGCG
This 800-nucleotide ribosomal RNA is filed under the name Micrococcus sp. JSM 2155018. RNAcentral's name for it is "bacterial SSU rRNA". It matches the Rfam family "Bacterial small subunit ribosomal RNA", at positions 35 to 845 of the family's 1533-position model. The record is from RNAcentral. Lineage: Bacteria; Bacillati; Actinomycetota; Actinomycetes; Micrococcales; Micrococcaceae.